AACGAACGCUGGCGGCAUGCCUAACACAUGCAAAUCGAACGAGACCUUCGGGUCUAGUGGCGCACGGGUGCGUAACGCGUGGGAACCUGCCCUUAGGUUCGGAAUAACUCCCCGAAAGGGGUGCUAAUACCGGAUAAUGUCUUCGGACCAAAGAUUUAUCGCCUUUGGAUGGGCCCGCGUUGGAUUAGCUAGUUGGUAGGGUAAAAGCCUACCAAGGCGACGAUCCAUAGCUGGUCUGAGAGGAUGAUCAGCCACACUGGGACUGAGACACGGCCCAGACCCCUGGGGGGGGGAGGAGGGGGGAAUAUUGGAAAAUGGGCGAAAGCCUGAUCCAGCAAUGCCGGGUGAGUGAUGAAGGCUUGAGGGUUGUAAAGCUUUUUUACCCGGGAUGAUAAUGACGGUACCGGGAGAAUAAGCCCCGGCUAACUCCGG
RNAcentral lists this ribosomal RNA (432 nucleotides) under uncultured bacterium. RNAcentral's name for it is "partial 16S ribosomal RNA". It matches the Rfam family "Bacterial small subunit ribosomal RNA", at positions 29 to 506 of the family's 1533-position model. The record is from RNAcentral.